CCUACGGGAGGCAGCAGUGGGGAAUAUUGGGCAAUGGGCGCAAGCCUGACCCAGCAACGCCGCGUGAAGGAAGAAGGCUUUCGGGUUGUAAACUUCUUUUAAGAGGGAAGAGCAGAAGACGGUACCUCUUGAAUAAGCCACGGCUAACUACGUGCCAGCAGCCGCGGUAAUACGUAGGUGGCAGGCGUUGUCCGGAUUUACUGGGUGUAAAGGGCGUGCAGCGGGGAAGACAAGUCAGGUGUGAAAGCCCGCGGCUCAACCGCGGAACUGCAUUUGAAACUGUUUUUCUUGAGUACCGGAGAGGUCAUCGGAAUUCGUUGUGUAGCGGUGAAAUGCGUAGAUAUAAGGAAGAACACCAGUGGCGAAGGCGGAUGACUGGACGGCAACUGACGGUGAGGCGCGAAAGCGUGGGGAGCAAACAGGAUUAGAUACCCCAGUAGUC
This 442-nucleotide ribosomal RNA is filed under the name uncultured bacterium. RNAcentral describes it as "partial 16S ribosomal RNA". It matches the Rfam family "Bacterial small subunit ribosomal RNA", at positions 338 to 795 of the family's 1533-position model. The record is from RNAcentral.